RNAcentral lists this transfer RNA (72 nucleotides) under Bos taurus (domestic cattle). It matches the Rfam family "tRNA". Rfam says of the family: Transfer RNA (tRNA) molecules are approximately 80 nucleotides in length. Their secondary structure includes four short double-helical elements and three loops (D, anti-codon, and T loops). Lineage: Eukaryota; Metazoa; Chordata; Mammalia; Artiodactyla; Bovidae. The record is from Rfam by way of RNAcentral.
GGGCAUGUAGCUCAGUGAUAGAGCAUGUGCUUUGCAUGCUUAAGGCCCUGAGUUCGAUCCCUGACAUCUCCU